RNAcentral lists this long non-coding RNA (280 nucleotides) under Mytilus galloprovincialis (Mediterranean mussel). The record is from RNAcentral. Lineage: Eukaryota; Metazoa; Mollusca; Bivalvia; Mytilida; Mytilidae.
GCGGGGGUAAACAUGUUUAUGAGAUCUCAACCCCCCCUAUACCUCUAGCCAAUGUAGAAAAGUAAAAGAAUAACAAUACGCACAUUAAAAUUCAGUUCAAGAGAAGUCCGAGUCUGAUGUCAAAAGAUGUAACAAAAGAAAAUAAAUAAAAUGACAAUAAUACAUAAAUAACAACAGACUACUAGCAGUUAACUGACAUGCCAGCUCCAGAUCUCAAUUAAACUGAUUGAAAGAUUAUGUCUUCAUCAUAUGAAUAUCAGGUACAAUCCCUCCCGUUAGG